RNAcentral lists this ribosomal RNA (322 nucleotides) under uncultured bacterium. RNAcentral's name for it is "bacterial SSU rRNA". It matches the Rfam family "Bacterial small subunit ribosomal RNA", at positions 30 to 350 of the family's 1533-position model. The record is from RNAcentral.
AUUGAACGCUGGCGGCAGGCCUAACACAUGCAAGUCGAGCGGAUGAGUGGAGCUUGCUCCAUGAUUCAGCGGCGGACGGGUGAGUAAUGCCUAGGAAUCUGCCUGGUAGUGGGGGGACAACGUUUCGAAAGGAACGCUAAUACCGCAUACGUCCUACGGGAGAAAGCAGGGGGACCUUCGGGCCUUGCGCUAUCAGAUGAGCCUAGGUCGGAUUAGCUAGUAGGUGAGGUAAUGGCUCACCUAGGCGACGAUCCGUAACUGGUCUGAGAGGAUGAUCAGUCACACUGGAACUGAGACACGGUCCAGACUCCUACGGGAGGCA